ACGCUUAUACCGCAACGUCCUACGGGAGAAAGCAGGGGACCUUCGGGCCUUGCGCUAUCAGAUGAGCCUAGGUCGGAUUAGCUGUUGGUGAGGUAAUGGCUCACCAAGGCGACGAUCCGUAACUGGUCUGAGAGGAUGAUCAGUCACACUGGAACUGAGACACGGUCCAGACUCCUACGGGAGGCAGCAGUGGGGAAUAUUGGACAAUGGGCGAAAGCCUGAUCCAGCCAUGCCGCGUGUGUGAAGAAGGUCUUCGGAUUGUAAAGCACUUUAAGUUGGGAGGAAGGGUUGUAGAUUAAUACUCUGCAAUUUUGACGUUACCGACGGAAAAGCACCGGGCUAACUCUGUGCCAGCAGCCGCGGUAAUAAAGGAGGGUGCAAGCGUUAAUCGGAAUUACUGGGCGUAAAAGCGCGCGUAGGUGGUUUGUUAAGUUGGAAUGUGAAAUCCCCGGGGCUCAACCUGGGAAACUGCAUCCAAAACUGGCAUGCUAGAGUAUGGUAGAGGGGUGGUUGGAAUUUCCUGUGUAGCGGUGCAAAUGCGUAGAUUUAGGAGGGAACCCCCGUGGGCCAAAGGCUAACCACCU
This 584-nucleotide ribosomal RNA is filed under the name Pseudomonas koreensis. RNAcentral describes it as "bacterial SSU rRNA". It matches the Rfam family "Bacterial small subunit ribosomal RNA", at positions 160 to 731 of the family's 1533-position model. The record is from RNAcentral. Lineage: Bacteria; Pseudomonadati; Pseudomonadota; Gammaproteobacteria; Pseudomonadales; Pseudomonadaceae.